Triticum aestivum (bread wheat) is the source of this 115-nucleotide non-coding RNA. The record is from Rfam. NCBI's taxonomy places the organism in Eukaryota, Viridiplantae, Streptophyta, Magnoliopsida, Poales, Poaceae.
CAAAUACUCCCUCCGUCUGGAAAUAUUUGUCUUAAAAAUGAAUGUAUCUAUAACUAAAAUAAGUCUAGAUACAACCAUUCAUAGAACAAGUAUUUCCGGACGUAGGGAGUAAAAU